UAUGUAUAGAGAAAGAGCAGUGGGAAUGGGGUCAGCCCUGGGGGAAUCACCAAUACCUAAAGAAUGGGAGGAAGGAGGAUUCUCGGAGGAGAAAUAAAAAGGUAGCUGCCCAGUGCUCACGAAGUAUCUUCAUCACUUGGAAAGAGACUGUAUGAGCAUUUGGUUUUUAAGUGGAUAAAAAUCCUCCACUGUCAAAUAAAUCACAGUAAACAAAUAUGAGUAUUGAACGGUUUCUGUGAGAGAAAUAUUACAUUCUAGCAAAUUAUUAGAAAACAUCAGAUGAAUUUGAACUGGAUACUUUGGCACAGACCAGAGAAUAAGAAGACAGAAGGCAAAUUUUGUAUUAUCUGUUCCAACCCCAUUUGUGCAACUACUUCAGUGGAUAAGUUGGGUGACUCUUGCUGUGUUGGCGCCUGAAUUUUUGCACACAUUUCAGGUAGAAAAAAAUGUGGAAAACUGAGAUAUACUCGAACUAGAAUCAUGAAUGGAUCAUGCUGAUGAAAAUCUGAGAAAUAUAUCCUAAGAAGAAAGUUUGAAAGAACUGGUAAAACAUAAAAAUGUCUUCAAGAAUCUCAAGGCUGCCAGGAAAAUGGUUAAAUCUACUAUUUUCGUGCAGCCCUAAGAAAUAGAAAUUCGGAUGGUGCAAUCCAAAAAGUAAUAUUUUUAAAAUUCAGAGCAUGCCAAACUAGAAAAGUUUGGUCAGGAGAAGCUGUGCAAAUAAAAGAGAUACGUAGAAGAACCCAAACAUGGAGCUCAGGACAUAGGAACUAACACCCAGAUGACCAUCAGUAUUCCUUCUAAUCAAGAGCUUCUGUGAAACUUCUUCCAUUCCGCCUUUUGAUCCCAGUUCCUACUGCAAGACCAAAUUUGGUCUGAUGGGACAAAUGGAUCUGACAUGGACAAGCAUGGCUAAGACACUUUGGGAUACAAGAGAAACGUUUUGUUUCUUCAAAAUAUAUGAUGAUUAAAACACACUUUGCAUGCUUUCAUAACUGGUGAAGAGUCCAUAUAAAACCUGCACGUGAAUGUUUCAAAAACUUUAUUUGUAAUUGCCAAAAACCGGAAGGAACCAAGUUGUCCGUGAAUAUGUACACGGAUAAACUGGUGCAUUCAUAUAAUGGAAUAUUGUUCAGAAAUAAAAAGAAACGAGCUAUCAAGCUAUAAAAGGACAAGGAUGAAUCUUAAAAGCAUGUUGUUAAGCAAAAGUCAAUCUGAAAAGGCUACGUACUUUAUGAUUCUGUAUAUAUGACAUUCUGGAAAAGACAAAACUAUUGAGAUAGGAAAGUGGUUGCCAGAGGGUUAGGGGCAAGGGAGU
This is a long non-coding RNA of Felis catus (domestic cat), 1315 nucleotides long. RefSeq lists it as uncharacterized. The record is from RefSeq and is a predicted model, not a curated record. The transcript is spliced from 4 exons. NCBI's taxonomy places the organism in Eukaryota, Metazoa, Chordata, Mammalia, Carnivora, Felidae.